UGAACCUGUAACAACAUAACAAAAACAUCCACCGCACAUACACAAACCCAAGAGCACAAGUGAAUUAAAUUAUGGUAUUUCUUCUUAUAAAAGUAACUACAUCUCAGAAAGCUUUUCAGACAUCCAAGGCGAAACAUCUUUGGGUCUGAAAACUGAACAUCAAAGGUAAUCUAAUAGCCAUCACUUCUUGGGCUAAGGUACCUAUUUCAUGGAACUUCAGGAGACAUGAACAAAUACCGGAGUAAAACCCACAAUCUCAAAACCACCUUUUGGAACAAAUUUAAAAGUAAUUUAGAUUGGAGCUGAGAAGAGUAACUCUAUCUUUACUAUUCUAAUGUAGGUCAAUCUGUAUUAAGAAUCUGAGUGGAGUCAAAGGAGCAGGCACUAAAAAGAACCUAUUUUUAAACCUUAAUUCAUUCAUCUAAACAUUUAUAUUUAAGGAAAAGCUGUAAAGCAGAAAGCUCAAAAGUCAGAAGACCUAUGUUCUAAUACUGGCUCUAUAAAAAUUACUUCAGUAAUCAUGAAAAAAAAUCACUUAACUUCUCUGGACCUUAUUUCCUAAUCUGCAAAACAGGCAUAAAAAACUUAGCCUUGGGCUUCCCAUGUGGCGCAGUGGUUGAGAGUCCGCCUGCCGAUGCAGGGGACAUGGGUUCAUGCCCCAGUCCGAGAAGAUCCCACAUGCUGCGGAGCGGCUGGGCCCGUGAGCCAUGGCCGCUGAGCCUGUGCGUCCGGAGCCUGUGCUCCGCAAUGGGAGACACCACAACAGUGAGAGGCCCGCGUACCGCAAACAAACAAACAAACAAACAAAAAAAAACUUAGCCUUUCAACCUCACAAAACUGUUUUAAGGACCAAAGAAUAAUCUGAAAAUAUGUUAAACUUGGUAACAAUAAUAGAUACCACUUGAUGAAUGCCUGCUAUGUGGCAAGCAAUGUGCAGGUGCUAUAUCUACAACAAUCCUCAAGUCAGGUAUUACAAUCCCCUCUUUAUAUAUUAAAAAAAAUGAGGCUCAGAAUUCCCUGGAGGUCCAGGGGUUAGGACUCCGAGCUUUCACUGCCAAGGGCGCAUGUUCAAUCCCUGGCCGGGGAAAUAAGAUCCCUUCAGGCCCUGCAAGCCCUGCAGCAUGGCAAAAAAAAAAAAAAAAAAAUGAGGCUCAGAGAAGUUAUGCAACUUGCCUAAGAUGUUCAGUAAUAGAGCCAGAAUUUGACCCUAAGUCUAUAUAACAACAAUUGUCCAUGCUCUUUCCAAUAUACCCUGAUACCUCCAUACAAAUAUAAUAAGAUUUAUCAUUUAAUGAGGGCUUUCUCUAUUCCAGGAAUGGUACUAAAUGUUUUACUUAUAUUACCUCAUUUAUCCCUCACAGAAACCCUAUUAGGUACAUAUAACCUACAUUUUAUGGGUUAAAAAAAAUGAAUUUCAAAGAGGUUAAACAACUUUGCCAAGGUGUGCCUGAUCUGGCUCCAAAGCUUUAGUAUUAACCACUUUCCUAUACUAUAUUUAAUAUAGUGUCCGAAGACCGAAGUUAAAAUGCGUCUCCGAAAAAAUGGAGAAGUCAAUGAAGAAGAAAUAGAGUCAGAAAUCAAUUCCAAGUUCCUUGGGAUCAAGUAACAUGUCUUGGGACUCUGUCUAGCACAGUGAAGCUGUCGUGAACAAACACAGGUUUCUGAGUGGAUGAAUGAAUAUUGAAACAGCACUGAUCAAUAUGAGGUUUCAUCUUCAAGGAAUUCAUGGAAAAGACUCUGACAAGUACAGGUUUCUGGUAACUGACUGUACUGCUGAACUGAAUUAAUAAGCAUUUUCAGAACUCUAAUGAAAAACUGAUGAACUCAUAAAAGUGCUAUUAAAAGAUCAAGAUGAAAAAAAAUUAAUUACAUGGGACUAAGUGAGCUGAUCAGGAUGAUUAUAAUUCUUGUGACUUUCUGUUUGAAUUAAAAAAAAAAUCCCACAAGGACUCAGAGGCAAAAAAUAUACAAAUCAAUUUUCACUGCAAAGUAAAGGAGCUGUUACAGUGGAGGAUUACUGGACUGAAUGUCAAUAUUAUGACAUAGUAUGAGUGUGUUUCGUGUUUGGUAAUUGCAAUCACUGUAGCUUUUGUUGUGGUCAUCCAUUUACAAUGCUUGGUGUCAGUCUAUUUAUCUCCUGUAAAAAUAAAAUACA
Long non-coding RNA from Physeter macrocephalus (sperm whale), 2155 nucleotides. RefSeq lists it as uncharacterized. The transcript is spliced from 3 exons. The record is from RefSeq and is a predicted model, not a curated record. Lineage: Eukaryota; Metazoa; Chordata; Mammalia; Artiodactyla; Physeteridae.